This 433-nucleotide ribosomal RNA is filed under the name uncultured bacterium. RNAcentral describes it as "partial 16S ribosomal RNA". It matches the Rfam family "Bacterial small subunit ribosomal RNA", at positions 29 to 507 of the family's 1533-position model. The record is from RNAcentral.
AACGAACGCUGGCGGCAUGCCUAACACAUGCCAGUCGAACGAGACCUUCGGGUCUAGUGGCGCACGGGUGCGUAACGCGUGGGAACCUGCCCUUAGGUUCGGAAUAACUCCCCGAAAGGGGUGCUAAUACCGGAUAAUGUCUUCGGACCAAAGAUUUAUCGCCUUUGGAUGGGCCCGCGUUGGAUUAGCUGGUUGGUAGGGUAAAAGCCUACCAAGGCGACGAUCCAUAGCUGGUCUGAGAGGAUGAUCAGCCACACUGGGACUGAGACACGGCCCAGACUCCUACGGAAGGCAGCAGUGGGGAAUAUUGGACGAUGGACGAAAGCCUGAUCCAGCAAUGCCGCGUGAGUGAUGAAGGCCUUAGGGUUGUAAAGCUCUUUUACCCGGGAUGAUAAUGACAGUACCGGGAGAAUAAGCUCCGGCUAACUCCGUG